ACUGACCGUGCCAUAAAAAUAAAUAAUGUAUUUUGAGUAGAUUGUUAUAUUCACAGAUAUAUUAGAGAGAUCGUACACAUAACUGGGGGAGAGGGAAGGAUAAAUAAAGUUUUGAUGCAUCUUUUAUUGACUCACUAUGAAAUAGUGCAUUCCUAGAUGAGUUCAAUAUAAUUUACAAAGCUGAAAGAAAGUAUAUCUUUAUGUUAUUGAUUUAGAUGUUUAAGUUCUAAUGUUAUUAGUAGGACAGACUAAAUUUUUCAAGUAAUAAUGAGAAUUGGCUGUGUACCAUAGUUACAGUUAUUACCUUAGUAAUGCAUUGCUACUGGGCUACUCAGAUGUUAACUAUUUUUUCCAUGAAGAUAGACAUAUUUGAAAAUUUUGCCUUCAGUAAUAAGAAAAAAAUAUAUAUUAAAAAACCCUAUGAUGCCUUAUUUUUAAUAAUAAUUUACUUUUUGCCAAUAAUAGUGUAUUACACAGUUUCUGAUAGUUCUGUGAUUCUGUGAAACCCAUCAGAAUAAUACAUUUUCUGGUGAAACUACUGGAAAUGUUGUGUCAGGAACUGGUGGUAAAAGCUGUAACAUGCUUAUAAGUAGAUUACCUUAAAGGUAAAAAUGUUAAAAAAAAAUAAUAAAAAAGAGUAAAGGAAUCUCUCCGGCUUUCAGUCCAGCUUUGUUUAAAAGUGAAGCUUAACUUUAAAGUUACCAUUGCCCUUUGACCAAGCUAUAGCAGUUGGAGUUCAGAGUGAAAAUGCUUUCUGAUUAGAGUCUAAUAAUUGUCUUUUUACAGCAGUGAAGAAAAUGCUGAAGAAAAAACCUAAGUAUUAAUCCACAAACUGCAUCUGGGCACUGGUUCAAGACCUGACAGUCUAAGUUCUACUCUUGCCUCUAACCUGUGCUUAGUGUGAAAUGUGAGCAAUAAUUACUUCCUGCACUGCAAAGUUAUUGAGAAGUUUCAAGGCAUACAGUUCUGGGUGAUGAGAAGCAAAACUGAAUGAGUAGAAGAAAUGUGAUCAGAAAAACAAUGAGAGCAUGCCUUGAUCUGUUUGCAGAGAAAAGGAAGAGAGCAGUUCAGAGAAGAGUAUGACUUGAUGAGUCAGAUGAAGUUAGGACCUAACAAGAUGGUGCACUGAAAGGCUUAUUUAGGAGCUGUAAGAAGCUGGACUUAAUCUUACAGGAUUCCAAGUAUCCUUGCUGAGCUUCUGAGUAUUCCUAAUUUAUAGGAAUAUAUAUCAAAGGAAAGAGCAUAUUAACAGCAUAAGCUAAACGAUAUGCAGAUUUGUAAGACUUUCAGGGAACAAGCAGCUCAUGCUGUAAAGUUCUUAGAUCUUAUAUUGAAGACAGAUAUUUAAAAGCAUUGAUUAAUGAGAGAAUAAUAAUUGCUCUAGAUGAAAACAUGAAAUAUUUAACAACAUCCAGGCAGAUCACACUCAAUGUAUUUCUUGUAAACAAAACAAUCAAAUUUUAAAAGUAAAUAGAAACAUUCUUUUAGGCAAAGCUGUAGAAAUAGCUGAAUAAAUACAGCAUAAGAAAUAAGCAAUUGAUGUUUCAAACUGUACUUUGUAACAUUUUAGACCCAUCUUCCAUUAGGAGAAUGAUAAACAUUCUUUGAAGUUACUACUAUACCUUCGUUACAGUUGUAAUGUAUUACAUUUAAUAAAAUACAGUAUCUUUUUACCCUUUGAUUUUAGUCCACAAAGAGUUUCAUAGAAUAUAUAGAGAUAGAAAAUGACUCAACUACUUAUCUUUGUAUGAUUCUAAUUUUGCCUAGAACUGGAUAGAAUAUAGUAUUUUAUUUCUUGUGUAAUUUUGGCAUUUAAAAGUGCGCUUUUCUUCCAAUACUCAAAAAAAAAAAUAAAAUUGUUUUUGCAUUGUGAAAUUCCAGAAUACUUUUAUGUAGAUAUAUUGAAGUUAACUUUUAGAAAACAUUAGCAUAUUUAUUUUUGGGGUAGUAAAUAUAAAUAAUGUAAACCAUUUUAUGUGGGUAUUGAACAGAGUUUUCAUGUUGCUCAUUUUUUUGUCCCCCUCCUUUUUUUUGUCCUUCAAGAUAAAUAUAGCAAAGUUUAAAGCCAGGUAUUCUACUGCUAUUUAGUUGCAUAAAAAUACAACUUAUGUUUUAUAGCAAAUCUUUUGCUUUUCUAGGAAACUGAAAAUACCAAAAGAAGCCUUGUCCAGUCAUUAUGAUGUGAGAUUCCAGUAGACUUAUUGAUGGUGUCUACUGAGAAACAUGUAUUUAUUCUUCUAAAGCCUCCAUCAAGAGACAGAAGAAAAUAUAUUUUAGAUUUUCAUAUCAUGGAUAUAUUUGUUUAGCAAAUUCACAACUUUACUUCAGAAGUGAUGCACACAUAUUCAGUAUAAGCAUUGAGCUUUCAAAGGACUUCAAAUGAAUUUCCAAAUUCAAUGAAAAUUUUGUCUGAUAUUCACCAUGCUUAAAAAUUUUGAAGGUUUAAAAAAAAGAAAGGAAUUAAUUGAAAACUUUUAUCAAAAAGCUGUUUUAGAAGAGAACCUUGGCAGUCUAAAGAUGGUAUUAGUAAAUUCACACAUCAGCAUUCUGCUGAUUUAAGCAGAGGAAAAAUAAAGAUAAAAUUAUAUCCAAUGUGAGUGUAAAGUAGCAACCAGAUUGUGAGCUGACAUUGCAGAGAUAUAUAAAAAAAGGCCUAAACAUUCUGAAUUUAAUUCCAGCUAUCACAAAUUAGGCUAUGCCAGAGUUGUACCAAGAGAGAGAAAAAUAUGUUUUCUACAACCUGCCUUUUAUUUUGAAGAUUCUGCAAUCUAAGUCCCAGAUAAGCAAUAUAAUAAACCUGAA
Anas platyrhynchos (mallard) is the source of this 2802-nucleotide long non-coding RNA. RefSeq lists it as uncharacterized. Lineage: Eukaryota; Metazoa; Chordata; Aves; Anseriformes; Anatidae. The record is from RefSeq and is a predicted model, not a curated record.